RNAcentral lists this non-coding RNA (30 nucleotides) under Rattus norvegicus (Norway rat). Lineage: Eukaryota; Metazoa; Chordata; Mammalia; Rodentia; Muridae. The record is from RNAcentral.
UGUGCAUGCAAGUUUGNGUGUACCUAUGCA